GAAAUGAUAGUACGAAUAAAUUGUAGCAGUAGAAUUGAGAAGCCUUCUUUUUGAAAAAGGUAGUCUGAAAAUAUGUCAUCUUUAUUUUGAGAGGCAUACAACCAUAUAGUACAUGGACACAGUAAUCGUGUAGAAGUGCUACAUCUCGUAUACUAAUUAAGAAUCAAAAGAACUUUUGUAAAUCCUACUGUUACAGAAAUUCAACUUUAGGUUGUAUUGGUGCACAGUGGUAAGGGAUUGUUGUAAGGACUGGCAGGAUGAAAACAAAAAAGCUAUUUAAAGGGAGCACUUGUUCGCUGUAACAAAAAGAAAAGCAACAAGAAAGAAAUACUUUUUUAAAUAUUUUUUAGAGAACCACUUUCUCUAAUGUAGAAAGCGUUGGUCUUUCCCAUUCGGUUCGAGACCUAUGAAAGCUACUCAGUAGAUACUGAGUUAGUAGGGAGUAGGGUUUAAACGUGAUUUUAGCAUGGUUUCUUG
This is a non-coding RNA of Schizosaccharomyces pombe (fission yeast), 477 nucleotides long. The record is from the annotation of a GenBank genome assembly. NCBI's taxonomy places the organism in Eukaryota, Fungi, Ascomycota, Schizosaccharomycetes, Schizosaccharomycetales, Schizosaccharomycetaceae.